UGCCAGCCGCCGCGGUAAUACGAAGGGUGCAAGCGUUGCUCGGAAUUACUGGGCGUAAAGCGACCGCAGGCGGUCCAGUAGGUCGGAUGUGAAAGCCCGGGGCUCAACCCCGGAACUGCAUUCGAAACCCCUGGACUUGAGUAUGGGAGAGGAGGGCGGAAUUCCUGGUGUAGAGGUGAAAUUCGUAGAUAUCAGGAGGAACGCUCGCGGCGAAGGCGGCUCUCUGGCCCAAUACUGACGCUCAUGGUCGAAAGCAUGGGUAGCGAACGGGAUUAGAUA
Molecule: ribosomal RNA, 279 nt
Filed under: uncultured bacterium
Lineage: Bacteria
Description: partial 16S ribosomal RNA
Rfam family: Bacterial small subunit ribosomal RNA
Source: RNAcentral